Non-coding RNA from Mycena epipterygia, 94 nucleotides. NCBI's taxonomy places the organism in Eukaryota, Fungi, Basidiomycota, Agaricomycetes, Agaricales, Mycenaceae. The record is from the annotation of a GenBank genome assembly.
GACCCAGUAGUGGAUGGUCCGCGUCUGCCGUUCUUGAAUGACGAUUCUUGUAUGGUACAGCAGAAGGUCGCCCGUUCGACUCGGGCCUGGGCCC